UUUUUCUUCCUCUUUACUACGACUUCCUCUUCCUAAUUACCAUUUUUCUUCUUCUUCUGCUUCCUCCAGGUAUUCUCCAAUAUAAAUGCAUUUGAUGGAGGCAACCUCAGUUUUGCUCCAUGGCCCUCAUUUGAAUAUUUCCGAUCCAACAAGAUUCUUAAUCAUGGCUCUGCUUUUCAACUGCAUCAAGACUGUUGUGUCCAGAGAUUGAACUCAAGUAACAUCACCAGGAGAAGAUUGAUGUUAGCAAAGGACUCACUGAAUGUUUUCAGUUCCCUUCUAUGUGGAAUUUGCUCUUGAAGGUCCAAAGGAGAAUAUACACAUCUAUAUAAUAUUCACCUACAUGUGAGUAUAAAUAUUUAUACAUGUAAAUGUAUGCAUAUGGGUACAUAUUAUAUACACGCAUGUGUGCAUGUGCUUAUAUUUAUGUAAAAUAGUUGCCUCAAGAAGUUUAAUUCCAUGUUUUAUUAAUGCAAGGGCUAAAACAAUAAG
This 492-nucleotide long non-coding RNA is filed under the name Monodelphis domestica (gray short-tailed opossum). RNAcentral's name for it is "lncRNA (ENSMODG00000037673.1)". Lineage: Eukaryota; Metazoa; Chordata; Mammalia; Didelphimorphia; Didelphidae. The record is from RNAcentral.